Molecule: ribosomal RNA, 398 nt
Filed under: uncultured bacterium
Lineage: Bacteria
Description: bacterial SSU rRNA
Rfam family: Bacterial small subunit ribosomal RNA
Source: RNAcentral
GACGAACGCUGGCGGCGUGCUUAAUACAUGCAAGUCAACUGAACUUUAGGUAGCAAUAUUUAAAGGGAGGUGGCGCACGGGUGAGUAACACGUAGGUAAUCUGCCUUCAGGACUGACAUAAUUCCGCGAAAGCGGGACUAAAAUCAGAUGAUGCAGCGGCUCGACAUCGAGACAGUUGUUAAACCUUCGGGGCCUGAAGAUGAGCCUGCGUCUGAUUAGGUAGUUGGCGGGGUAAAAGCCCACCAAGCCUGCGAUCAGUAGCUGGUCUGAGAGGAUGAUCAGCCACACUGGAACUGAGACACGGUCCAGACUCCUACGGGAGGCAGCAGUAAGGAAUAUUGCUCAAUGGCCAAAGGCUGAAGCAGCAACGCCGCGUGGAGGAUGAAAUACUUUAGUAU